GGGCGAUUAGCUCAGCUGGUUAGAGCGCCUGCCUUACAAGCAGGAGGUCACUGGUUCGAAUCCAGUAUCGCCCA
Molecule: transfer RNA, 74 nt
Filed under: Bacteroidota bacterium
Lineage: Bacteria; Pseudomonadati; Bacteroidota
Also listed under: 1 other name
Description: tRNA-Val
Rfam family: tRNA
About the family: Transfer RNA (tRNA) molecules are approximately 80 nucleotides in length. Their secondary structure includes four short double-helical elements and three loops (D, anti-codon, and T loops). Further hydrogen bonds mediate the characteristic L-shaped molecular structure. tRNAs have two regions of fundamental functional importance: the anti-codon, which is responsible for specific mRNA codon recognition, and the 3' end, to which the tRNAs corresponding amino acid is attached (by aminoacyl-tRNA synthetases). tRNAs cope with the degeneracy of the genetic code in two manners: having more than one tRNA (with a specific anti-codon) for a particular amino acid; and 'wobble' base-pairing, i.e. permitting non-standard base-pairing at the 3rd anti-codon position.
Source: RNAcentral